AAUGAAAUCUGGAUUCAGAGGAGUUGAGGGCGAAUGUCAGCUUUCUCUUGAUAAAAUAUAGAUGCUGACGGUUAGCUUAUGAUUUAUUCUUGAAACAUUUUCAAAAUGUUGAUUUCGAGGUUCCCUUUUUUGAUGAUCUUUUAAAACAUUUGUGUCACAUCAGACACUUGAAGAGAGGAAGUGCUUAGUGAAAAAGUGUCAUUUCUCUGAAGCCGCAACUGUAUAUGGAAUGUUGAGUUUGAAAAUCAUGUGGUAUUUCAGCAUUUGAUGUUAAGAAAUGAAAUGGUAUCUAUACUCAGUCCUUACAUUUUGGUAGGUUGAAGUGAGGUAUUGCAGAGAAACCUUUGAAGGGAGGCUUUUUUUUUUUUUUUGAGAGGGUCUCAUUCUAUCACCCAGGCAAGAGUACAGUGGUGUAAUCUUGGCUCACUGCAACCUCUGCCUCCCAGGUUCAAGCAAUUCUCCUGCCUCAGCCACCCAAAUAACUGUGAUUACGGCUUGAACCACCGUGCCAAGCCAGUGUACACUUGAAAUACCCAGAGAGGUGGGUUAGUUGAGAGUAAUAGUGAGCUGUGAUAGUGUGAUGUUCUCAAAUUCCUUUUUUUUUUUUUUUUUUUAAAAAAAAAAAGGCUAGGCCGGC
Long non-coding RNA from Sapajus apella (tufted capuchin), 637 nucleotides. RefSeq lists it as uncharacterized. The record is from RefSeq and is a predicted model, not a curated record. Lineage: Eukaryota; Metazoa; Chordata; Mammalia; Primates; Cebidae. The transcript is spliced from 2 exons.